Molecule: ribosomal RNA, 74 nt
Filed under: Pilea plataniflora
Lineage: Eukaryota; Viridiplantae; Streptophyta; Magnoliopsida; Rosales; Urticaceae
Description: partial 28S ribosomal RNA
Source: RNAcentral
CCCUAUCGGGGGGGCGCUUCCAACGCGACCCCAGGUCAGGCGGGAUUACCCGCUGAAUUUAAGCAUAUCAAUAA